This 253-nucleotide ribosomal RNA is filed under the name uncultured bacterium. Its description in RNAcentral is "partial 16S ribosomal RNA". It matches the Rfam family "Bacterial small subunit ribosomal RNA", at positions 524 to 776 of the family's 1533-position model. The record is from RNAcentral.
UACGAAGGGGGCUAGCGUUGCUCGGAAUCACUGGGCGUAAAGGGUGCGUAGGCGGGUCUUUAAGUCAGGGGUGGAAUCCUGGAGCUCAACUCCAGAACUGCCUUUGAUACUGAGGAUCUUGAGUUCGGGAGAGGUGAGUGGAACUGCGAGUGUAGAGGUGAAAUUCGUAGAUAUUCGCAAGAACACCAGUGGCGAAGGCGGCUCACUGGCCCGAUACUGACGCUGAGGCACGAAAGCGUGGGGAGCAAACAGG